RNAcentral lists this ribosomal RNA (454 nucleotides) under uncultured bacterium. Its description in RNAcentral is "bacterial SSU rRNA". It matches the Rfam family "Bacterial small subunit ribosomal RNA", at positions 341 to 786 of the family's 1533-position model. The record is from RNAcentral.
UAGGGAGGCAGCAGUGGGGAAUAUUGCACAAUGGGCGCAAGCCUGAUGCAGCCAUGCCGCGUGUAUGAAGAAGGCCUUCGGGUUGUAAAGUACUUUCAGUCGUGAGGAAGGUGUUAAGGUUAAUAACCUUAGCAAUUGACGUUAGCGACAGAAGAAGCACCGGCUAACUCCGUGCCAGCAGCCGCGGUAAUACGGAGGGUGCGAGCGUUAAUCGGAAUUACUGGGCGUAAAGGGCACGCAGGCGGUUAAUUAAGUUGGAUGUGAAAUCCCCGGGCUUAACCUGGGAAUGGCAUUCAAGACUGGUUAGCUAGAGUCUUGUAGAGGGGGUAGAAUUCCAUGUGUAGCGGUGAAAUGCGUAGAGAUGUGGAGGAAUACCGGUGGCGAAGGCGGCCCCUGGGACAAAGGACUGACGCUCAUGUGCGAAAGCGUGGGGAGCAAACAGGGAUUAGAUACC